GUUGAACGCUGGCGGCGUGCCUAAUACAUGCAAGUCGAACGCAGUUGCGAAUGGGUGAGUAACGUGUAGGUAACUGUCUUAUAGCGGGGGAUAACUAAUGGAAACGAUAGAUCAUACCGCUUCCUGUGAGAUGGAUCUGCGUUGUAUUAGCUAGUUGGCGGGGUAAAGGCUCACCAAGGCGACGAUACAUAGUCGGCCUGAGCGGGUGAUCGGCCCCACUUGUACUGAGACACGGGCCAGACUCCUACGGGAGGCAGCAGUGGGGAAUCUUCGGCAAUGGGGGGAAGUCUGACCGAGCAACGCCGCGUGAGUGAAGAAGGUCUUCUGGUCGUAAAGCUCUGUUAGUGGGGAAGCGUUAACUGACCAAUAAGGAACGGCUAACUCCGUGCCAGCAGCCGCGGUAAUUC
Molecule: ribosomal RNA, 407 nt
Filed under: uncultured bacterium
Lineage: Bacteria
Description: partial 16S ribosomal RNA
Rfam family: Bacterial small subunit ribosomal RNA
Source: RNAcentral